This 507-nucleotide ribosomal RNA is filed under the name uncultured bacterium. RNAcentral describes it as "partial 16S ribosomal RNA". The record is from RNAcentral.
GGAGUUAGCCGGUGCUUCUUCUGUGAGUGAUGUCCUUCCUGCCGGUUAUUGACCCGCAGGCCUUCUUCCUCACUGAAAGUGCUUUACAACCCGAAGGCCUUCUUCACACACGCGGCAUGGCUGGAUCAGGGUUGCCCCCAUUGUCCAAUAUUCCCCACUGCUGCCUCCCGUAGGAGUCUGGGCCGUGUCUCAGUCCCAGUGUGGCUGAUCAUCCUCUCAGACCAGCUACGGAUCGUCGCCUUGGUGAGCCGUUACCUCACCAACCAGCUAAUCCGACAUAGGCUCAUCCGAUAGCGCGAGGCCCGAAGGUCCCCCGNUUUCCCCCGUAGGGCGUAUGCGGUAUUAGCCUGGGUUUCCCCAGGUUAUCCCCCACUACCGGGCAGAUUCCUAUGCAUUACUCACCCGUCCGCCGCUCGCCACCAGGGAGCAAGCUCCCCGUGCUGCCGCUCGACUUGCAUGUGUUAGGCCUGCCGCCAGCGUUCAAUCUGAGCCAGAAUCAAACUCUGA